GGGUGCGAUCAUACCAACACUAAUGCACCGGAUCCCAUCAGAAUUCCAAAAUUAAGCAUGCUUGAGUGAGAGUACUACUAAGAUGGGUGACCUCCUGAAAAGUCCUCAUGUUGCACCCC
This 119-nucleotide ribosomal RNA is filed under the name Nelumbo nucifera (sacred lotus). The record is from RNAcentral. Lineage: Eukaryota; Viridiplantae; Streptophyta; Magnoliopsida; Proteales; Nelumbonaceae.